UGUCAAUAAUGUCUGAGGUGUACCUGAUCCAAUGCUUAGUGCAUCUGCAUCACCAUUUCUUAUGAUCAUAAUAUCUCUUCCAUGACAACAUAUCGUAGAGCUAUGAGGAGAUAGUUUCCAUCAACCCUGUUUUGUUGCGGUCAAACCUGAUUCUUGCACGAUCCAAUAUUUUGUAAUGCACUAGCACUUCUUCAGAUGACAUGUAGGUAAUGCAAGUUGAGUUUUGAGGCUCUGUUGAGAAGAUGAGAGCUUUGGUUGUCCACUUAAUUGAAGCCAAACAAACAACACAAAUGAAAUGGAGAAGGAGUAGGAAAUAGUAGUUGAAGCAGAAUUCAUCAAAGCUUUCAUUAAUAUAGUACCCUAUUUUUAAAAAGUUAAUUUUAUUGUCACUUACGGCACUUCUGUUCCUUAAGUAGGAGUAGUAUAAUAUUAACAGUACUUAAUAUUCAACACUUUUUCUCUUUAGUAUAGAGUGUAUGGUUAUCAAUUU
Lycium ferocissimum is the source of this 490-nucleotide long non-coding RNA. RefSeq lists it as uncharacterized. Lineage: Eukaryota; Viridiplantae; Streptophyta; Magnoliopsida; Solanales; Solanaceae. The transcript has 3 exons. The record is from RefSeq and is a predicted model, not a curated record.